CUCCCUUUUUGCGCAUAUAAAUACACCCCUCUUCGAAGCAUAUCGAUUCGUGCAAUUUGAGAGAGAGAGAAAGAGAGAGAUAACACAUACACCAUCCUCUUCUAUUCUACUACAUACUACAACUAACUUCUAUUAUAAUUAUUACUAAGACUCAUGGAGUUCAACCAUCAUUUCUGGGUUUUUAUUUGCGGUCUCAUAGGUAUAUUUCAUUAUUCAUUUCAUCCUUCUUCUUAUCUCAUAUGCAUAUGCAUGUUAGUGUUGCAAGUGUGAGGAGUGUUGAAGUUAGUCCCACAUCAAAGAAAACAAGGAAGAGUGAGGAGUUUAUAAGAUGAGAGACC
Molecule: long non-coding RNA, 338 nt
Filed under: Arachis ipaensis
Lineage: Eukaryota; Viridiplantae; Streptophyta; Magnoliopsida; Fabales; Fabaceae
Description: long non-coding RNA (AIPA_LNC002076)
Source: RNAcentral